UACGAAGGGUGCAAGCGUUAAUCGGAAUUACUGGGCGUAAAGGGCGCGUAGGUGGCCUGUUAAGUCAGUUGUGAAAUCCCAGGGCUCAACCUGGGAAUGGCAUUUGAUACUGGCGAGCUUGAGUAACGAAGAGGGGGGUAGAAUUCCUGGUGUAGCGGUGAAAUGCGUAGAGAUGGGGAGGAAUACCAGUGGCGAAGGCGGCCUCCUG
This 208-nucleotide ribosomal RNA is filed under the name uncultured bacterium. RNAcentral's name for it is "partial 16S ribosomal RNA". It matches the Rfam family "Bacterial small subunit ribosomal RNA", at positions 524 to 731 of the family's 1533-position model. The record is from RNAcentral.